UGGGGAAUAUUGGACAAUGGGCGCAAGCCUGAUCCAGCCAUGCCGCGUGUGUGAAGAAGGCCUUUUGGUUGUAAAGCACUUUAAGCGAGGAGGAGGCUACUUGGAUUAAUACUCUAGGAUAGUGGACGUUACUCGCAGAAUAAGCACCGGCUAACUCUGUGCCAGCAGCCGCGGUAAUACAGAGGGUGCGAGCGUUAAUCGGAUUUACUGGGCGUAAAGCGUGCGUAGGCGGCUUUUUAAGUCGGAUGUGAAAUCCCUGAGCUUAACUUAGGAAUUGCAUUAGAUACUGGGAAGCUAGAGUAUGGGAGAGGAUGGUAGAAUUCCAGGUGUAGCGGUGAAAUGCGUAGCGAUCUGGAGGAAUACCGAUGGCGAAGGCAGCCAUCUGGCCUAAUACUGACGCUGAAGUACGAAAGCAUGGGGAGCAAACAGG
Molecule: ribosomal RNA, 430 nt
Filed under: Bacillota bacterium
Lineage: Bacteria; Bacillati; Bacillota
Description: Firmicutes bacterium partial 16S ribosomal RNA
Rfam family: Bacterial small subunit ribosomal RNA
Source: RNAcentral